GGGGUUGCCGGGCUGCUACCUGCAGUCGACGCUGAAGCCCCAGCUUGCUGGGGUGGAUGAGUGGCGAACGGGUGAGUAACACGUGAGUAACCUGCCCCUGACUUCGGGAUAAGCCCGGGAAACUGGGUCUAAUACCGGAUACGACUGCCGGACGCAUGUCUGGUGGUGGAAAGUUUUUUCGGUUGGGGAUGGGCUCGCGGCCUAUCAGUUUGUUGGUGAGGUAAUGGCUCACCAAGACGACGACGGGUAGCCGGCCUGAGAGGGCGACCGGCCACACUGGGACUGAGACACGGCCCAGACUCCUACGGGAGGCAGCAGUGGGGAAUAUUGCACAAUGGGGGAAACCCUGAUGCAGCGACGCAGCGUGCGGGAUGACGGCCUUCGGGUUGUAAACCGCUUUCAGCAGGGAAGAAGCCUUCGGGUGACGGUACCUGCAGAAGAAGUACCGGCUAACUACGUGCCAGCAGCCGCGGUAAUACGUAGGGUACGAGCGUUGUCCGGAAUUAUUGGGCGUAAAGAGCUCGUAGGUGGUUGGUCACGUCUGCUGUGGAAACGCAACGCUUAACGUUGCGCGUGCAGUGGGUACGGGCUGACUAGAGUGCAGUAGGGGAGUCUGGAAUUCCUGGUGUAGCGGUGAAAUGCGCAGAUAUCAGGAGGAACACCGGUGGCGAAGGCGGGACUCUGGGCUGUAACUGACACUGAGGAGCGAAAGCAUGGGGAGCGAACAGGAUUAGAUACCCUGGUAGUCCAUGCCGUAAACGUUGGGCACUAGGUGUGGGGGGCAUUCCACGUUCUCCGCGCCGUAGCUAACGCAUUAAGUGCCCCGCCUGGGGAAUACGGUCGCAAGGCUAAAACUCAAAGGAAUUGACGGGGGCCCGCCAAGCGGCGGAACAUGCGGAUUAUUCGAUGCACCCCAAGACCUUACCAGGCUUGACUACACCAGACCGUCUGG
This 952-nucleotide ribosomal RNA is filed under the name Brevibacterium sp. RNAcentral's name for it is "bacterial SSU rRNA". It matches the Rfam family "Bacterial small subunit ribosomal RNA", at positions 36 to 1002 of the family's 1533-position model. Lineage: Bacteria; Bacillati; Actinomycetota; Actinomycetes; Micrococcales; Brevibacteriaceae. The record is from RNAcentral.